UGGGGAAUAUUGGACAAUGGGCGAAAGCCUGAUCCAGCCAUGCCGCGUGUGUGAAGAAGGUCUUCGGAUUGUAAAGCACUUUAAGUUGGGAGGAAGGGCAGUUACCUAAUACGUAUCUGUUUUGACGUUACCGACAGAAUAAGCACCGGCUAACUCUGUGCCAGCAGCCGCGGUAAUACAGAGGGUGCAAGCGUUAAUCGGAAUUACUGGGCGUAAAGCGCGUGUAGGUGGUUUGUUAAGUUGGAUGUGAAAUCCCCGGGCUCAACCUGGGAACUGCAUUCAAAACUGACAAGCUAGAGUAUGGUAGAGGGUGGUGGAAUUUCCUGUGUAGCGGUGAAAUGCGUAGAUAUAGGAAGGAACACCAGUGGCGAAGGCGACCACCUGGACUGAUACUGACACUGAGGUGCGAAAGCGUGGGGAGCAAACAGGAUUAGAUGCCCGAGUAGUCCCUGAGCGGGCUGGCAAGGCGCAU
RNAcentral lists this ribosomal RNA (472 nucleotides) under uncultured bacterium. Its description in RNAcentral is "bacterial SSU rRNA". It matches the Rfam family "Bacterial small subunit ribosomal RNA", at positions 355 to 825 of the family's 1533-position model. The record is from RNAcentral.